AACGCACGAGACCUGCGGACCUGCGGAGGGAUCAUUAAUAGAGAGCUGCCCGGCCUUCCGGGCGCCUUCUCCACCCAUUGUCUGUUAUACGUCAGUUGCUUUGGCGGGCCCGGGCAUUCUGCCCGGCCGGCUUGCGCCGGACAGUGCCCGCCAGAGGUCAUUUUUCAAAACUCUGAAGUAAACCACGAAGUCUGAAAACACUAUGAAAAUAGCCUAAAACUUUUAACAAUGGAUCUCUAG
This 240-nucleotide unclassified non-coding RNA is filed under the name soil metagenome. RNAcentral describes it as "partial contains 5.8S ribosomal RNA, internal transcribed spacer 2, and large subunit ribosomal RNA". The record is from RNAcentral.